GGAGAGAUGGCCGAGUGGUCGAAGGCGCGCCCCUGCUAAGGGCGUAUGGGGGCAAAACCUCCAUCGAGGGUUCGAAUCCCUCUCUCUCCGCCA
RNAcentral lists this transfer RNA (93 nucleotides) under Nitrosomonas sp. RNAcentral describes it as "tRNA-Ser". It matches the Rfam family "tRNA". Rfam says of the family: Transfer RNA (tRNA) molecules are approximately 80 nucleotides in length. Their secondary structure includes four short double-helical elements and three loops (D, anti-codon, and T loops). The record is from RNAcentral. Lineage: Bacteria; Pseudomonadati; Pseudomonadota; Betaproteobacteria; Nitrosomonadales; Nitrosomonadaceae. RNAcentral also lists the same sequence under 1 other name.